Molecule: ribosomal RNA, 429 nt
Filed under: Bacteroidota bacterium
Lineage: Bacteria; Pseudomonadati; Bacteroidota
Description: Bacteroidetes bacterium partial 16S ribosomal RNA
Rfam family: Bacterial small subunit ribosomal RNA
Source: RNAcentral
UAGGGAAUCUUCCGCAAUGGACGCAAGUCUGACGGAGCAACGCCGCGUGAGUGAAGAAGGAUUUCGGUUCGUAAAACUCUGUUGUUAGAGAAGAACAGCGCAUAGAGUAACUGUUAUGCGUGUGACGGUAUCUAACCAGAAAGCCACGGCUAACUACGUGCCAGCAGCCGCGGUAAUACGUAGGUGGCAAGCGUUGUCCGGAUUUAUUGGGCGUAAAGCGAGCGCAGGCGGUCAAUUAAGUCUGAUGUGAAAGCCCCCGGCUCAACCGGGGAGGGUCAUUGGAAACUGGUUGACUUGAGUGCAGAAGAGGAGAGUGGAAUUCCAUGUGUAGCGGUGAAAUGCGUAGAUAUAUGGAGGAACACCAGUGGCGAAGGCGACUCUCUGGUCUGUAACUGACGCGGAGGCUAGAAAGCGUGGGUAGCAAACAGG